Molecule: long non-coding RNA, 2501 nt
Organism: Oncorhynchus masou masou (cherry salmon)
Lineage: Eukaryota; Metazoa; Chordata; Actinopteri; Salmoniformes; Salmonidae
Exons: 3
Source: RefSeq, a predicted model, not a curated record
UCAAUGCACGUAACUAACGUGAGGUUAAUCCAGUCAAUCGCGCCAUAGCAAUGUUUUAUUUUUAUGUUGGCAGGGUUUACACACAAACUAGCUGAAUUUGCAGAGCUAGCGGGCAAACAUGAACUAUUAAGCUAGCUAGUAUAUAUUCCAUUUAUGUGGCGUCGUCAAAGAUGGAAUCUUUUCUAUCGUCAGUUUAUUCCAAGAUCAGCAUGCAGCUGUAGUGCUUCAAAGACCCUGUGAAAAGAUCAGGCAACAGAAGGCACACAGACAGCAGAGCUGGGGACAGAUGGGCAGGGACAGACUGGCAGAGACAGGGAGUCUCGGGAGACAGACUGUGAGGCAGUGAGGGUGGUGAAAGGGAAAGAGCCAAGGAGAGAGACUUCAGAGGACAGUGUCACAGCCACGGCAGGACCAGGUGUCAACCUUGUUUCCAGCAGCACCGGUAUAGGGGACAGUGGCACAGCCACGGCAGGACCAGGUGUCAACCUUGUUUCCAGCAGCACCGGUAUAGGUGACAGUGGCACAGCCACGGCAGGACCAGGUGUCAACCUUGUUGCCAGCAGCACCGGUAUAGGGGACAGUGUCACAGCCACGGCAGGACCAGGUGUCAACCUUGUUUCCAGCAGCACCGGUAUAGGGGACAGUGUCACAGCCACGGCAGGACCAGGUGUCAACCUUGUUGCCAGCAGCACCUGUUUAGGGGACAGUGUCACAGCCACGGCAGGACCAGGUGUCAACCUUGUUGCCAGCAGCACUGGUAUAGGGGACAGUGUCACAGCCACGGCAGGACCAGGUGUCAACUUUGUUGCCAGCAGCACCUGUAUAGGGGACAGUGUCACAGCCACAGCAGGACCAGGUGUCAACCUUGUUGCCAGCAGCACCGGUAUAGGGGACAGUGUCACAGCCACGGCAGGACCAGGUGUCAAUCCUUGUUGCCAGCAGCACCGGUAUAGGGGACAGUGGCACAGCCAUGGCAGGACCAGGUGUCAACCUUGUUGCCAGCUGCACCAGUAUAGGGGACAGUGUCACAGCCAUGGCAGGUUUCGCGAUUUCCCCUGGCUACAUUAUAAUCCAUCAGUAAAAGGAGUUUUGUGUUUUCACUGUAGCCAAGGGUUUUAAAGCCAGCAAUCUUUUGGCCAAAGAGCAGAUGCUGCCUUCAUUAGUGCAGGAUUUAGGAAGUGGAGAAAAGCCAUUGUAAAAUUCACAGCACACCAAAACUGCCAAACCCACCACCACUGUGUAACUGUAACAGCACACCAGCUAAAUCCAAUCAGUGUCCAGGUAUCCAGCGCGUGGGGUAAACAGCAGAAAUUACGAAAGCUACCUUGCACUGUAUGAGAAAGCAACAACAUUGAUUGAAUCCAUUGAAACACACUCAAGACGAUUUGCUGGCAAAGCAGUGGAUCACUAUAGGUCAGAUUUUUUUAAAGUGUUGGAUGGUGUGGAGGUUCAGUUUGGCGACCGUUUUGACCAGGACAGUCUAAACAUUCUGCAAAAGUUGGAAAGAGUACUUCUCACGGGGGAGUUGGAUGAGUCUCUAGAUCAGUACCCUGAGCUGAACAUAGAUUAUCUUUCAGUACUUUUGUUCAGUAGUGUGUAUAGCAGUGGUUCUCAAUCGUUUUUGAGUACUGGAACCCCUGCAUCUUUUGAGGAAAGGCGGGCAAGGUUUUGAGUGGUCCUCAGGGACCUCCACCCUCUCUAUAUGAUAUGUAAAGUUAGUGGAAUCCUUGUUCUGCUGAAUACGUUCAUUACACUUUUUUAUUUCAUGGACCCCUUGCCAUUACACCAAGGACCCCUAGGGGUCCACCUACCCUGUUUGAGGACCCCUGGUGUAUAGUAUGAUAUUUGUUAUUAUGUUUAGUAGUUUUUAGUACAUGACAGUACACUUACUAAUAUUUAAUUUAAUAUAAAAUAUUUUGGUUGAUUUAUUUGGGUUUUUCAUUGAAGUAGUUAUUUUGCUUUUAGAACUGUACUUAUUCUGAGCAUUUUGUUCUCGUAAAGAUGUUGCAAUAGACUCAAACCAGUGGCACAUAUUUAAUGACUAUAUAAAUGAAUCAGAAAAAGUUAAAUAAAAAGGUCAGUUCAGUGCAGAGACCAACUUCAUGAUGGUUCUCAAUGGAGAUUCUUUGAGAUGAGAUCGCACCAUGUUCAUUAUAUUUAUGAAACCUGCACCCAUACAGUGUACAGUACCAUUACUACCUACUGGCCUUGCUUGGUAUUGCUGGUUGUAAAUACAAAUACCUGCAUACAUACUGGACUGAUAAGGAACACUGCUAUAACUAUUAUUAUUAUUAGUAUUAUAAUGAUUUAAACAUUUUAACAAGUUGGGACAACCCUUCAGUUAACCACUGUACCUAUCAAUUAUCCAGUAGUAGUAAUUAUGGUUCCUCAAUAUACAUGUAACAUAUUACAAUGGAGGCUAUGUGUUACAGCACUGCUUUUGGUGUCCCCCUCAGGAAUUGCUCUUGAGAAAAUGUAAUGUAAUUGUACCCUCCAAAGUU